This 253-nucleotide ribosomal RNA is filed under the name uncultured bacterium. RNAcentral describes it as "partial 16S ribosomal RNA". It matches the Rfam family "Bacterial small subunit ribosomal RNA", at positions 524 to 776 of the family's 1533-position model. The record is from RNAcentral.
AAAGCAGGAGGAAAGCGUUAUCCGGAGUGACUGGGCGUAAAGAGCGUGUAGGCGGUUGAGUAAAUUGCGUGUGAAAGCGCCCGGCUAAACUGGGCGAGGACAGGCAAGACUGCUGAGCUAGAGGCCGAUAGAGGGGUGCGGAAUUCCGGGUGUAGCGGUGAAAUGUGUAGAGAUCCGGAGGAACACCAGUGGUGCAGACGGCGCCCUGGAUCGGACCUGACGCUGAGACGCGAAAGCGUGGGGAGCGAACGGG